RNAcentral lists this ribosomal RNA (1740 nucleotides) under Escherichia coli. RNAcentral describes it as "partial 23S ribosomal RNA". It matches the Rfam family "Bacterial large subunit ribosomal RNA", at positions 1 to 1783 of the family's 2925-position model. Lineage: Bacteria; Pseudomonadati; Pseudomonadota; Gammaproteobacteria; Enterobacterales; Enterobacteriaceae. The record is from RNAcentral.
GGUUAAGCGACUAAGCGUACACGGUGGAUGCCCUGGCAGUCAGAGGCGAUGAAGGACGUGCUAAUCUGCGAUAAGCGUCGGUGAGGUGAUAUGAACCGUUAUAACCGGCGAUUUCCGAAUGGGGAAACCCAGUGUGUUUCGACACACUAUCAUUAACUGAAUCCAUAGGUUAAUGAGGCGAACCGGGGGAACUGAAACAUCUAAGUACCCCGAGGAAAAGAAAUCAACCGAGAUUCCCCCAGUAGCGGCGAGCGAACGGGGAGGAGCCCAGAGCCUGAAUCAGUGUGUGUGUUAGUGGAAGCGUCUGGAAAGGCGUGCGAUACAGGGUGACAGCCCCGUACACAAAAAUGCACAUAUUGUGAGCUCGAUGAGUAGGGCGGGACACGUGGUAUCCUGUCUGAAUAUGGGGGGACCAUCCUCCAAGGCUAAAUACUCCUGACUGACCGAUAGUGAACCAGUACCGUGAGGGAAAGGCGAAAAGAACCCCGGCGAGGGGAGUGAAAAAGAACCUGAAACCGUGUACGUACAAGCAGUGGGAGCCUCUUAAUGGGGUGACUGCGUACCUUUUGUAUAAUGGGUCAGCGACUUAUAUUCUGUAGCAAGGUUAACCGAAUAGGGGAGCCGAAGGGAAACCGAGUCUUAACUGGGCGUUAAGUUGCAGGGUAUAGACCCGAAACCCGGUGAUCUAGCCAUGGGCAGGUUGAAGGUUGGGUAACACUAACUGGAGGACCGAACCGACUAAUGUUGAAAAAUUAGCGGAUGACUUGUGGCUGGGGGUGAAAGGCCAAUCAAACCGGGAGAUAGCUGGUUCUCCCCGAAAGCUAUUUAGGUAGCGCCUCGUGAAUUCAUCUCCGGGGGUAGAGCACUGUUUCGGCAAGGGGGUCAUCCCGACUUACCAACCCGAUGCAAACUGCGAAUACCGGAGAAUGUUAUCACGGGAGACACACGGCGGGUGCUAACGUCCGUCGUGAAGAGGGAAACAACCCAGACCGCCAGCUAAGGUCCCAAAGUCAUGGUUAAGUGGGAAACGAUGUGGGAAGGCCCAGACAGCCAGGAUGUUGGCUUAGAAGCAGCCAUCAUUUAAAGAAAGCGUAAUAGCUCACUGGUCGAGUCGGCCUGCGCGGAAGAUGUAACGGGGCUAAACCAUGCACCGAAGCUGCGGCAGCGACACUAUGUGUUGUUGGGUAGGGGAGCGUUCUGUAAGCCUGUGAAGGUGGCCUGUGAGGGUUGCUGGAGGUAUCAGAAGUGCGAAUGCUGACAUAAGUAACGAUAAAGCGGGUGAAAAGCCCGCUCGCCGGAAGACCAAGGGUUCCUGUCCAACGUUAAUCGGGGCAGGGUGAGUCGACCCCUAAGGCGAGGCCGAAAGGCGUAGUCGAUGGGAAACAGGUUAAUAUUCCUGUACUUGGUGUUACUGCGAAGGGGGGACGGAGAAGGCUAUGUUGGCCGGGCGACGGUUGUCCCGGUUUAAGCGUGUAGGCUGGUUUUCCAGGCAAAUCCGGAAAACCAAGGCUGAGGCGUGAUGACGAGGCACUACGGUGCUGAAGCGACAAAUGCCCUGCUUCCAGGAAAAGCCUCUAAGCAUCAGGUAACAUCAAAUCGUACCCCAAACCGACACAGGUGGUCAGGUAGAGAAUACCAAGGCGCUUGAGAGAACUCGGGUGAAGGAACUAGGCAAAAUGGUGCCGUAACUUCGGGAGAAGGCACGCUGAUAUGUAGGUGAAGCGACUUGCUCGUGGAGCU